UUUGAAUGGCUGGGGUGCCGGUCCCUCGAUGGACCGGCUGAGAUCAUACCCAUCGAACCUGUUCGGGUCAUGCCGACGAAGGGAGCCUCGUGACGACGACG
RNAcentral lists this non-coding RNA (101 nucleotides) under Skermanella stibiiresistens. RNAcentral's name for it is "TPP sequence". It matches the Rfam family "TPP riboswitch aptamer (THI element)". From Rfam's summary of the family: Vitamin B(1) in its active form thiamin pyrophosphate (TPP) is an essential coenzyme that is synthesised by coupling of pyrimidine and thiazole moieties in bacteria. The previously detected thiamin-regulatory element, thi box was extended, resulting in a new, highly conserved RNA secondary structure, the THI element, which is widely distributed in eubacteria and also occurs in some archaea. RNAcentral also lists the same sequence under 1 other name. The record is from RNAcentral. Lineage: Bacteria; Pseudomonadati; Pseudomonadota; Alphaproteobacteria; Rhodospirillales; Azospirillaceae.